CUUAAAUUGAAGAGUUUGAUCAUGGCUCAGAUUGAACGCUGGCGGCAGGCCUAACACAUGCAAGUCGAGCGGAAACGAGUUAUCUGAACCUUCGGGGRACGAUAACGGCGUCG
This 113-nucleotide ribosomal RNA is filed under the name Vibrio parahaemolyticus. Its description in RNAcentral is "partial 16S ribosomal RNA". The record is from RNAcentral. Lineage: Bacteria; Pseudomonadati; Pseudomonadota; Gammaproteobacteria; Vibrionales; Vibrionaceae.